This 924-nucleotide long non-coding RNA is filed under the name Homo sapiens (human). RNAcentral describes it as "HSALNT0324939". The record is from RNAcentral. Lineage: Eukaryota; Metazoa; Chordata; Mammalia; Primates; Hominidae.
GGUAAAGAUGGGGCGGCGCGGCCGGGGCUCGCCAGCACCAGCCCUGGAACCCCAUGGGGGACCUCGACAACAGCGCCUUUGCGGCGUGGGCCCCUUUCUGCAGCUCCUCCACCCGCGCGCUGUCGGCUCCGGGACACUGGGGCUUUGAAGGGCGCCAGUUCCCAGCCGCACCUGCACGCCUAGGAGGGCGCAGGCCGCGUGUCCCUGUGGGAGGAAGGCCCCGGCAACCUGCAAAGACCUCACGUCACAGAAACUUGCGGCGUUUGCCCCCGAUGCGCGCGUCAGGUGCUCCGUCCCUUCCAGGUGGCAGAGGAGAGGGAAGGGUCGCGCCUGGUGGGGGCCUGAGAGCCACCGGGCUGCGGUGCGCGAGUGUGGACACCGCCCCGCCUUCUGCGUCUACAGCCCUGGGUUCUGGGACCUUUGGAAACCGCUUUGGACGAAGCUGAGCAUCUCUUUCCCCACGCUGACCUCCCCCAUAGACUCCGGAUGGGAGUAAAUGAGGCUCCUGGGAAAUCCAGAAACUCUAGAGAAGCUUGUUUGCCAAACCUUGCUUUGGGCGGUGGAGACAGAAUAUCAUGUCCCAGAUCAGCGUGUGGUGACUGUGGAGGCAUUUACACACAGCACACUCCAGCUCUGCCACUGGGCCGGCUGAGGUGGCUGCGGUACACGGCGCCCAUCCUGAGCCCCAGGUUCCUCACAUGUCAACAGCAUGAAAAGUGCCUCUAAGACAUCCACAGGUGUGCAGUGUUAAAGCAGCCCCAUCAUCCUGAGAUAAUGAAGCCGUUCAUUCUUGGGCACAAAAGUUCGAAUGGAGGCCUUUCCCCGCCAUCCGCAUAAGACGAUGGGACACUGCAGAGCGUCUGGAUUCCUACAAGUGAAAGUGGCUUCAUGUAGAACAUUAAACAUUCCCAUAACUAAAUCGAA